Molecule: long non-coding RNA, 6488 nt
Organism: Musa acuminata AAA Group (dessert banana)
Lineage: Eukaryota; Viridiplantae; Streptophyta; Magnoliopsida; Zingiberales; Musaceae
Exons: 10
Source: RefSeq, a predicted model, not a curated record
CGGGCUCCCUGCCCUUACUUGCGAUCGUUGUUUUGGUUGUUGGCUUGCGUGGUUACGCGUCUGCGGUGUCCUUUAAGUGGAUCCUCAGCCAUCCGUAAUCGAUGAUUUCGUUUUCGGAUUGGACGAUCCAUCGAUCGUUGAUUUCGUUUUCGGAUUGGAUGAUCUGUUUCCGAUAGAGGGCUUCACAAUUUUGCCGGAUUAAGGCCAUUUGCGACAGAUUUUAUAUGUACUUUCGAAGCGGUAGGUGAGGCUUUGGUGUUUGUGUGGGUAUUAUCUUAAUGGAACCCUCGCGGAGUCUGUGAGGCAAUUUGUGAAGGUUGCUCUGGUUUUCCGAAAUGAUCUGAACAAGGGAUGUGUCCUUUUUGAUCUGGUUUAGUUGGCCUUCGUUACUUUCAACUUUUAUUUGUUGCAUUUAUGUCCACCAGUUGGUUAUGUUUGUUUGUUUUUAUUUUUUGUGUGCAAGGGAAAGCUUCUGGAUAUGAUAUUUGAAAGAGAGAUGUGUGUGUUUUGCUACCAUGCUAUGAUAUUUGGUUUGAGAUAUACGCUAACGGUAUCUGCAUCAAUGCUGUGUCUUUUGGAUACUCUAGUUGGAUUUAGACGGGUAUCAGGGAAGAGUUCCAUCAACUUCUCAUUUUUUGAGGGUUUUUGUGGGCAGUUGCCGAAGCAUCAUCGUUAGGCAUGAUUCUAUUAAAUAGAGAUGAUUCUAUAUGUGUCAUCGACGCUGUUGGUGGGGCUCUGGUGUUUUUGUGAUUAUUAUCUGUAUGGAGCCACACGUAGCUGUGAUGCAGUUUGUAAAGGAUGCUCCAAUUAAGGAUGCUCUGGUUUUUGUUGAAUGAUUUAAAUAGGUUUUCCAUUAGAUAGUGUUAUAUUUAAGGGGUUUCAUUGUUGUGACAUACGUUGCUUAUUAUGAUGGAUCCAGGGCUUCCGAAAUUAUCUGAACAGUGGAUAUGUCCGGUUUGUGCUGGUUUAGUCAGCCCUUGUUACUUUCAAACAUUAAUUGUUGCCCUUACGUGCACAAGUUGGUCAUUUGAUACGGUUCUCAUCAAAGUAUGGUUGUUUGUUUUUAUUUGUUGUCUGCUAGGGGAAGCUGAUGGACAUCUAGUUUUGCAUGGGCAUGGGACAUUUUUUUGAAAGUGAGAUGAUUUAAAUUGGGUAUAUGGAAGGUUAUUUUGUUUGCCUAUUUGGUUUAUUACAUCCAGUUGUAUUCUUGGCUGCUCUUUCCAGAUGAAAUUUGGAUUUUCUGUCCUGGUUUUCUACAAUUAGUUAUGAUGUUUGGUAGCAGGAUUUUAUUUUGGAGUUAAUACAUUUCUAAAUUGGGUUAAUUACAUCCUUUGGUGUUCUUGGCUGGUUGUAUUAGAGGAAGUCAGAUAAUUUUGUUGAAUAACUUGAAUUCUGUGGUCAUCAUUUCCAUUGGCGUCAUUGCUGUUCAUUUAUUGCCAAAAUGCAGUCCAACAGUGCAAAGUUGUUACAUUUGAAAGGUACCUGUGCUAUUAAGGUGUCUUUGUUGGUGAUCUUGGGUUAUGAUAAUUGUACUUGAUUGUUAUAUCGAUUUUUGAAUCAAUUCAAUGGCACAAUUGAUGGCUUCAAAAACAAGUGGGUUUUAAGAUGCAUUGUUACUUUUUUCUUGUAUCAAGUUGGAGGGAGGCUGAUGUACUUUUUGCUGCUCAUUUUAUGUGAUGUUUGUCUACUUGAAGCUUGUUUUGGGAGCUGGGUUUCAUGUUAAGAAAGUUGGGUUUCUCUUCAGUAUGGAGCCUUCAUAUUGUAAACAAAGGAGUCCAAUUUUCAUCAAGGAAUAUUCUUGUGGGAACCCAAUUGCUAAUUGAAUAUAUUUCCUUUAUGAAGAUUCUUCAACCAUAGCUGAUACAAACAAGUUUACAAGAUUGUUGUUUUGGUUUGCAUGAUGAAGAGAAUAGAAGUUCUACCUGUACUCCUGGUGAUGUGAACAAUGUAGUUGGAACAUCUACGGAAAGCCUAGCAUGAUUAAACAGAAAUUCAUGGGAAAGAUUUUAUUGGCUUUAACUGGUUUUCCCAGGAUUAACAUUAGAUUGAAAAGCUUGGAACUGACAUUUGAAUUGAUCCACUAGUACCUGUUGCUAUUCCCCAUGAUAUUUGCAAGUUUUGGUUCGAUUUUGUUCUUUUCCUGUGUGUACAUGUUUAUAUGGUUCAAAGAACUCUGGAAGGUUGUGUUUGGUUGAAAGGGGGCGGGUGCAUUUGGAUUGAGAUUAGCAAAUCGAAAAGAUUGGAAAAUGACUUUUGAUUGAGAUUAGGGCAUCGAGAAGGUUGGAAAAUGAUUCUUUAGUUGAUUCGCAAGUCUCAGUAGCUAUUACCGGUGAUGUUCUGCAAUUUAUGGAUGGAUUUUGUUUUAUUUUCCUGUGCCUACAUAUUUGUAUGUUCCAAAGAACUUUGGAAGUUCUGUUUUUGGUUGAAAACAUGGUGCAAUGGGAUGUUGUAUCUAUUACGCAAAUUGGUUGUACCAAAAAUUAUUGUGGACUAGUACUCAGAUUUUGUCAUAAGGUAUCAGAUCAAGGUUUUUGAUAUGGUUGUGUAUGAAUCAUGUAGGUGGUAAGUUGCAUGUUUUGAGCUUCCAAUGGUGAUGGUGUCUGGCGUUGGUAAGCUGGCCAGAUACAUUGUUCUUUCAAGUUGGUUCAUCCAUGAAUUGACAUUGUAUCCAUUGAUUUAAUUCAUGAUUGUUUGUAAGAAAACUUUUAAUGUUCGAUGUGUUGGUAAUUAUACUUCUACUAAGAAGUUUAUAUAAUAUUAUUUGGUAGCUUACAAGCUUUAUUUUUUGUCUGAUUCUGGUAGUGUUUUGUCAGUUAUUGGGUAGCAUGAUGUUGGUUGGGGGUGACUCUAUUUUGUGUCUUAGAUUUGUAUGUCUUGGGUUUUCUCUUGAACAGGAGUCUUUGACAAGGCAUAUCUUUGAUGAGGCAUAUCUGCCAUGUUCAUGUAGUUUUGUUUGCUCAAAACUUGCUUUUUUGCGACUUGCAAUUGUAUGACCCUUUUUCUGAUAUUGUUAUGCUUCCAUGCUUUAACAUUAAUGUUUUUUAGUUGGCAUCUGUGUGUAUUCUUGGAUUUUUCAUGACUAAAUGACUGUUCAUCACCAAUUUUUGAGUGUUUGUCAUGAGGGGAAUUUGUCCUCAGUUUUCUUCGUUGGUGAGGUGUUUAUGAAUCUUAAUUUUGUUUAUUAGGAAUUUCGGAGUAUCUAAUUUUGGUUGUAUUUAUUUAUUGAAUUGUGAAUUUUUGUAUUACAUUUUUGUUUCAUGAUUAUCUUCUAUAUUGUUUGUUGAUAUUUCAAAACUAUUCCAGUAGUCUAUAUUUUUUUAGUAAUUUGCUAGGUUUAGAUAGUAAGCUGAGUUGGAAAAUGAUAAGUGGAAGGUGUUCAUAAUUGUCUUCAGGUAACAAUAAAAUAUUAUUUAGUAAAAAAUAUAACUAUUGGGAAAUAAGCAUAUGAGAUUGUUUGCAAGCAUGUUUGGAAACAUGUGAAGACAAAAUUUGAAGCUUGAAGAAUAUGAGAAAAGGGUUAUAUAGCUAUCUUGAAAUUAAAGAGCAUGUGUUUAUUUAUCCCUUGUGAAUUUGCUUGGACUGUUUAUGAGGAUGUUAUGAUACUUGUGAGACUUUUUACUUGGUGUUGCAUCUUUGAAUUAUUUUAGAGCUUAUUCAGUAUGGUGACAAUUCCUGUUCAAUUAUGUUUGUUUUUUUUAAUUAUUACACUUUCCAUGCUUUUACGACUAAUUUACUGUGUUGAAUGUAUUUCCUGUUCAAUCAUGUUUGGUAUUUUCUUUGACUACAUUUUCCAAGCUACUAUGAUUAUUAGAUUACAUUUUCUUUGACUACAUUUUCUUUGUCGAUAUAUUUAGCUACUAUGCAAUUUGUUUAUUAGUAAUUUGAUUUUGUUGUUCGUAUAGGUUGUAGCAUAUUUUACAAUUAGUAUGAGAUUUGCAUUGAUUAUCGUUUAUCAAACAGAUGGGUUUGCUGUUUAGAAUUUAAAAUUAAAUACAAAAACGAACAAGAAUAGAAGUAAGACUGGUAAAUUGGACAUUGCAAUAACCACUUUACUAUCAUUGUUGUUUUCCAAGCUUAGCUAAGAAGACUAUAAAGUUGGAUAUUAUGUGAUUUGUAGUUGCAUUGGAUGUUUUUUAUGGUCAGAAGUUCAUUGCUGGAUAGGUAUUCUCCAGGGAGGUUGAUCAACUUCUCCUUUUGUCAACAUUUGGUGAUUGCAUUGGACUUCUACUUUACUGCUUGAUUGUUUUAUCUAAUUCUAUUUAUGUAUUCACAUUUUUCUUCUUCUCUUUUUUCCCUAAUUGUCUUUAUUUUUUCUGAUGGUUGGUAAAUUUUCUAUUGUUAAUCAUAAAUUCUAUAAUGGUAUUCAAUUGGCAAAUAUGUUGGGCAUAUGAUAGCUGUUGGCUUGAGAAUUAUGGGCAUUAUCUUUUUCCAUGUGAUAGCUGUUGGCUUUGUAGUUAUCUAUUGGUUCAUUUUGUGAGAAGUCUGCUUCUUGUUUUGCUGUUCUGUUGUGACAUUCCAGAAGCAUUGUUCCAUCACCUGGUGCAGUCUGGUUUUGCAUAUAUAAGAGAUAUGAUGACAUCUAUCUUGACUCUCUCCAGAUAGAUUAUAAAGCCUGGUGACUGAUACAUCUGCUUAUUUUCUACAUAAUACACCUGGUCUCUUUAUGUAUUCAUUUGUUGUGUUUCAGAUCUUCUGAACAUUGAUCUCCUCCUUGAUUUUUUGUUGUGUGGCAUCCAAUAGCUUUUUUGUUUCUGAAAUUUUGGGGUAUCUUAGCUUCUGAACCUUAAUUUUGGGUUUUUAAUGUGAUCUUUCAUGAUCAUGGGGUCAUCAAAAUGUCUGUUUUUGUUGGAACUUUCUGUGAUAUACUGAUAAUGAAAUUGGUACAUUCUCUGUUCUAAUGAGUUCAUUACAUCCAUUGUUAUUUUUCACUUGGCUAUUGAAGAGCCUAUAGUUUUUAUGUCCUGGUUUUGGUUUUUCAGUUUUGGUUAAUUUUUCAUAAUUUCCUUUUUUUUUCCUCUUGACAUUGCAUUCGGUGGUACAAAUUAUUUUGUGCUUCAUCUUUGUGAACCAUUGGUAUCAGAAUUUCUGUGGUCUCUUUCCAUUUAUUCAGCUUUUGCUUUUCUUUUCUUUGAGACACAUGCCUGUUUCUCUUAUUCUAUGCUUCAUUUAUUGUUCAAGAAGCUAGGAUGGGGCUAAACAGUGAAUGCAGUGAACCUUUGGUUGGUGAUCUCGAGCAAUAAUGGUAUGUAAUUUUGACAGUCUGUUAAAUAUUCACCAAUAGGGUCACUCAGCGAACUGGGUUUUCAAUUCUAUUAUAUUUUGUAGUUGCAGCAAUCUGUAAGUCAUUAUAUUUUGGUUUCUGAAAUUUUGGGAUGUCUUAGUUUCUGAAUCUUGAUUAUGGGGUUUAAUGCCAUCCAUCAUGAUGAGCAUGGGCAUUUUUAUAUACAAACUAGGUCAUCAAAAUGUCCGAUUGUAGGAAUAGAUCAUAAAAGUGUCAAAGAACCUAUAGAUUAUUUUUCACAAUAUCCUUUUUUUUUUCUUUGAAAUAGAUUUUAGUUGUACAUUGCCUUCAAUUCUAUAUCACAAUUUUUGUUGUUACUUUAUGGACAUUGUAUUGGGUGGUACAAAUUAUGUUGCACUUCAUCAUUGUGAACCAUUGGUACUAAAUCUCUCUGUUGCUCUCUUUCCACUUAUUCAGCUUUUGCUCGUCUCUUUUUCUAAACAUGUGCUUGAUUCUCUUCUAUGCUUUAUCUAUUGUUCAGAAGUUAGGAUGAGGCUAACAGUGAAUGUGGUAAACCUUUGGUUGGUGAUCUUGACUAAUAAUGAUGCGGGAUGACCCAAACUACCUCUUUCCAAUGUUUCUUCAAUUUGGAGUUAUGAUAGUAUAAUAUUGGUUGGUUGGUGGUAGCUUAACGUAGAUUGUUUGUAAUUUCUUUUGUAGGACUUUAAUGUUAUGUUUAGCACUGUUACAAAUGCUUCAAUUUGGAGUGGAUACUUUUGUCUAGUUGUGUAAUAAUUUGAAAACUUUUGUGUCUUCACAUUGAUUGUCUAAAUGGAUAAGAGGGGGUGGGCAUUGCUGCAGAUAAUGCAUGCGAGUGGAUGAUCGUAAUGUGCUGUUUGUGAACGUGGAUGCUUGGUCGUGGGUUUCUGUUGUGUUAUAAUUUGAGAUUAUCGUUGGUUGCAUUUGUGUUUGUUUUGACAUAAUUUUUAGGUUUAUUGUUUGACACUGCCAUUGCAUGUUUCAAGCCUGGAUGAGAAAACGUGGAGGGGGCAAUAGCUGAUCGGUACCUCUCUGUUGUAAACAAUCCAAAUGAUCUGCGAGUAUCACUAUAUGAGUGCAUUGCUCAACCUGCCCAUAGGAGCAACUUGUAUGACUCUCAUGUUUGGUUUUCGAAAUUCGAACUCUAGGGAUAAUAUUUCUCUUUGAGGUUUCUGUGUAGUGUACAUUGUAUGUAUAAUAUCUUUUCAAAAUGGAAUGUUUUUUUAAA